This 1501-nucleotide unclassified non-coding RNA is filed under the name uncultured fungus. Its description in RNAcentral is "sequence contains 18S rRNA gene, ITS1, 5.8S rRNA gene, ITS2, 28S rRNA gene". The stretch from base 579 to 1501 matches the Rfam family "Eukaryotic large subunit ribosomal RNA", at positions 1 to 961 of the family's 3401-position model. Lineage: Eukaryota; Fungi. The record is from RNAcentral.
GGUAGGAUCAUUAACAAAUCCGAGUGGCAGGGCCGACCGGCUUCGGCUUCGGCCCUGCACAUCAGUUCCGGCGGCGAUGCGCUGUGGCGCUCGCUGCCGUGUUCGCAACGUGCUCUGCACAAGUAUGUAAGUCUGACAAAAUGAGAAAAAAAAGUGGGAACAACAAAACAACUUUCAACAAUGGAUCUCUGGGCUCUUGCAACGAUGAAGAACGCAGCGAAAUGCGAAACGUAAAUGCGAUCCGCACAUACCUGUGAGUCAUCGAGUCUUUGAACGCACAUGGCACUUGCCACCUCGGUGGCAAGUAUACCUGUUUGAGAAUCGGUUCCAAUCCUGACAUCGCCUUGAUGUCGACAUGACCGCUCUCCGCCAAGGAGUCCGUCUAAAUGGAGACGAGUGAGGCUGGCGAGACCGUGCGUCUGCGCCGUGUGGUACUGGACUUACACGUCCUCGAGCACGGAUGCAACGUGGACGCACAACGGUGGAGCCGGCACAAAAGACUCACUCGAAUUGGUGGUUGGUUGGUUGGUUACAUCAAUCAAUCAACACCCGUACGGAUGAAAGACGGCCGUGAUCAACGAUCUCAAUCAGGCAAGGCUACCCGCUGAACUUAAGCAUAUCAGUAAGCGGAGGAAAAGAAACUAACAAGGAUUCCCCUAGUAACGGCGAGUGAAGCGGGAACAGCUCAAAUUUGAAAUCUGGCGUGUGUCAUGCACGUCCGAGUUGUAGUUUAGAGAUGUGGCUGCUGCAGGGUGUGGUCCGGGUCCAAGUCCGCUGGAACGCGGCGCCGGUGAGGGUGAUAGCCCGUGGGACUCGUGGCCGCUCCCGUCAUGGCACUGCAUCGACGAGUCGAGUUGUUUGGGAAUGCAGCUCAAAGUGGGUGGUAAACUUCAUCCAAAGCUAAAUAUUGGCAAGAGACCGAUAGCAAACAAGUACCGUGAGGGAAAGAUGAAAAGCACCUUGAAAAGGGAGUUAAAAGCACGUGAAAUUGUUGAAAGGGAAACGAUUGGUGUCAGUAUUGCCGCAAGGCAAGUCACUGCGCGUUGAGGCUGUGGUAGGCGCGACGCAGGAAGGUGGCCGUCCUUCGUGUUCGGCUUUAUAGCCUGUGUCGAGGGCCGCAGCGGCGACGCGGGGAGCCGUGGCACUUGUGCCGCGGCGUGUGACGAAAUGGUGCCAAACGACCCGUCUUGAAACACGGACCAAGGAGUCUAACGUGUAUGCGAGUAUUCGAGUGGCAAACUCGGGUGCGUAAUGAAAGUGUGGCGCGUGGGAACGCGGGCCUCUGUGCCCGCGUGCACCAUCGACCGACCUCGAUAUCUCUUGACAGGUUUGAGUCGCAGCAUACCCGCUAGGACCCGAAAGAUGGUGAACUAUGCCUGAAUAGGGUGAAGCCAGAGGAAACUCUGGUGGAGGCUCGUAGACGUUCUGACGUGCAAAUCGAUGUUCAAAUUUUGGUAUAGGGGCGAAAGACUAAUCGAACCAUCUGGUAGCUGGUUCCUUC